ACGAACGCUGGCGGCGUGCUUAACACAUGCAAGUCGAACGGAAAGGCCCUGCUUUUGUGGGGUGCUCGAGUGGCGAACGGGUGAGUAACACGUGAGUAACCUGCCCUUGACUUUGGGAUAACUUCAGGAAACUGGGGCUAAUACCGGAUAGGAGCUCCUGCUGCAUGGUGGGGGUUGGAAAGUUUCGGCGGUUGGGGAUGGACUCGCGGCUUAUAAGCUUGUUGGUGGGGUAGUGGCUUACCAAGGCUUUGACGGGUAGCCGGCCUGAGAGGGUGACCGGCCACAUUGGGACUGAGAUACGGCCCGGACUCCUACGGGAGGCAGCAGUGGGGAAUAUUGCACAAUGGGCGGAAGCCUGAUGCAGCAACGCCGCGUGCGGGAUGACGGCCUUCGGGUUGUAAACCGCUUUCGCCUGUGACGAAGCGUGAGUGACGGUAAUGGGUAAAGAAGCACCGGCUAACUACGUG
This 467-nucleotide ribosomal RNA is filed under the name uncultured bacterium. Its description in RNAcentral is "partial 16S ribosomal RNA". It matches the Rfam family "Bacterial small subunit ribosomal RNA", at positions 29 to 507 of the family's 1533-position model. The record is from RNAcentral.